AUUGAACGCUGGCGGCAUGCCUUACACAUGCAAGUCGAACGGCAGCGGGGGAGAAGCUUGCUUUUCCUGCCGGCGAGUGGCGAACGGGUGAGUAAUACAUCGGAACGUGCCCUGUAGUGGGGGAUAACUAGUCGAAAGAUUAGCUAAUACCGCAUACGACCUGAGGGUGAAAGUGGGGGACCGCAAGGCCUCAUGCUAUAGGAGCGGCCGAUGUCUGAUUAGCUAGUUGGUGAGGUAAAGGCUCACCAAGGCGACGAUCUGUAGCGGGUCUGAGAGAAUGAUCCGCAAAAAGGGGACAGAGCCACGGCCCAGACUCCUACGGGAGGAAGCAGUGGGGAAUUUUGGACAGUGGGGGCAACCCUGAUCCAGCCAUGCCGCGUGAGUGAAGAAGGCCUUCGGGUUGUAAAGCUCUUUCGGCCGGGAAGAAAUCGCAUGGGCUAAUACCCUGUGUGGAUGACGGUACCGGAAUAAGAAGCACCGGCUAACUACGUGCCAGCAGCCGCCGUAA
This 508-nucleotide ribosomal RNA is filed under the name uncultured bacterium. Its description in RNAcentral is "partial 16S ribosomal RNA". It matches the Rfam family "Bacterial small subunit ribosomal RNA", at positions 30 to 523 of the family's 1533-position model. The record is from RNAcentral.